RNAcentral lists this ribosomal RNA (500 nucleotides) under Phoroniformea sp. larval OTU C2. Its description in RNAcentral is "partial 16S ribosomal RNA". It matches the Rfam family "Bacterial large subunit ribosomal RNA", at positions 1831 to 2594 of the family's 2925-position model. The record is from RNAcentral. Lineage: Eukaryota; Metazoa; Phoronida.
UCCCUUGAAAUUAUAUGGGAUCUUGCCUGCCCAGUGAGUAUUAUACUUUAACGGCCGCAGUAUCUUGACUGUGCAAAGGUAGCAUAAUCAGUUGUCUUAUAAUUGAAGACUAGAAUGAAUGGCUUUAUGAAGAUAAGACUGUUUCCUUCACAAAAAAGAAAAUUAUUUUAGAGGUAAAAAAACCUUUAUUUAAAAGAAAGACGAGAAGACCCCGUUAAGCUUUAAUAUGAAAGUAAUAUUUACUUUAUGUUUUAAAAACUAAUUUAUUAUUUUUUUAUUUUGAUUGGGGCGAUCAAGGAAUAAAAAAACUUCCUUAAAUUAUUUAAAAGAUGUUUUAAAGACCCGAAAUUUUCGGCUAAUAAACUAAGUUACUACGGGGAUAACAGCGUUAUUUUUUCUAAGAGUCCUUAUUAAAGAAGAAGUUUGCGACCUCGAUGUUGGCUUAGGAUAACCUUGGAAUGCAGAAGUUUCAAAUGGUAAGUCUGUUCGACUUUUAAUGU